UACGAAGGGGGCUAGCGUUGCUCGGAAUCACUGGGCGUAAAGCGCACGUAGGCGGAUCGUUAAGUCAGGGGUGAAAUCCUGGAGCUCAACUCCAGAACUGCCUUUGAUACUGGCGAUCUUGAGUUCGGGAGGGGUGAGUGGAACUGCGAGUGUAGAGGUGAAAUUCGUAGAUAUUCGCAAGAACACCAGUGGCGAAGGCGGCUCACUGGCCCGAUACUGACGCUGAGGUGCGAAAGCGUGGGGAGCAAACAGG
This 253-nucleotide ribosomal RNA is filed under the name uncultured bacterium. RNAcentral describes it as "partial 16S ribosomal RNA". It matches the Rfam family "Bacterial small subunit ribosomal RNA", at positions 524 to 776 of the family's 1533-position model. The record is from RNAcentral.